UCAGUCGACUCCUACGGGGAGGCAGCAGUGGGGGGAAUAUUGCACAAUGGGCGCAAGCCUGAUGCAGCCAUGCCGCGUGUGUGAAGAAGGCCUUCGGGUUGUAAAGCACUUUCAGUCGUGAGGAAGGUAGUGUAGUUAAUAGCUGCAUUAUUUGACGUUAGCGACAGAAGAAGCACCGGCUAACUCCGUGCCAGCAGCCGCGGUAAUACGGAGGGUGCGAGCGUUAAUCGGAAUUACUGGGCGUAAAGCGCAUGCAGGUGGUUUGUUAAGUCAGAUGUGAAAGCCCGGGGCGUCAACCUCGGAAUAGCAUUUGAAACUGGCAGACUAGAGUACUGUAGAGGGGGGUAGGAAUUUCAGGUGUAGCGGUGAAAUGCGUAGAGAUCUGAAGGAAUACCGGUGGCGAAGGCGGCCCCCUGGACAGAUACUGACACUCAGAUGCGAAAGCGUGGGGAGCAAACAGGAUUAGAUACCCUGGUAG
This 478-nucleotide ribosomal RNA is filed under the name uncultured bacterium. Its description in RNAcentral is "bacterial SSU rRNA". It matches the Rfam family "Bacterial small subunit ribosomal RNA", at positions 328 to 793 of the family's 1533-position model. The record is from RNAcentral.